CCAACUAUACUGCUGAAGAUAGCUGCAGUUUACUGUGUUACAUCGGUUUACUGGAUUAUUGAUUGGGUUACUAGUGUCUACAGGAGAGAAGAACCGAACAUACGACAACGCAAUUCCGUAUUUGGAACUUGGUUACGUCUAAAAUGGUGAGCCUUGCCAACAGAGAAAUUAUAAUUACUAUAUUAAUUCUCCUCUUAUUGGCCGCAGCCAUCAAAAUCUUCGUUCCAGACAAAGGCAAUGAGGGACAAGAGGGAGUAUUAUCCACGCGUGAUAAGGUUGGCAUUGGUUUAACAUUCCUCGCUGUGUUCAGCCUAAUCGUCAAUUUCUGUUGUUGUAAACCGCAAAGACGUUAAAAGCAAUAAUGAUACAAAAGUUAUUAUCAUAUCAACAAUGGUAAUGAACUUUUAAAUUUUGAAUUGUAAAUGUAGACAUGGAUCACGUAAUCCUUGCAUACCGGGCCAUACCGUAAGGCGGGACGAUUUCUCUAAAUCAUAACAACUUUCGGUUUAGCGUGUAUAUACGUAUACUGACGACAAAUACGAAGAAUUUGUGGAAUCUUAAUUGAAAAACUGUGCAAAUAUAUGCUCUAAUAUGUUCGUAAAACCCGUUCUGAAUGAAACGCACUUUUUAUUU
Dendronephthya gigantea is the source of this 633-nucleotide long non-coding RNA. RefSeq lists it as uncharacterized. The transcript is spliced from 4 exons. Lineage: Eukaryota; Metazoa; Cnidaria; Anthozoa; Malacalcyonacea; Nephtheidae. The record is from RefSeq and is a predicted model, not a curated record.